This is a long non-coding RNA of Equus quagga, 437 nucleotides long. RefSeq lists it as uncharacterized. The transcript is spliced from 3 exons. Lineage: Eukaryota; Metazoa; Chordata; Mammalia; Perissodactyla; Equidae. The record is from RefSeq and is a predicted model, not a curated record.
GGGACUCACCUAGCAGUGGUGGGAACCAAGACAGCCCUGUGCAGCAGGAGCUAAAGCCAGAGAAGAGACCCAUCCAUCGUCUGAGAAGCAGUCCAAGGUUAGAAUGAAGAUAUGCUGAUGGUGAGCCAGCUUUGUUUCUGUGAAGGCAUGAGGGCAAUGGAGGGGGUGCGUGUGGAGCCACAAGACAGAGAGGUUGGACUUAAGGAGAUCUGCAACAUCAAAUUUCACUGCUUGAACACUUCUUCUUGGAAUCGAAUCCCCAUGCUUUGAGAAAGCCCAAGCAGCCACGUGGAGAGGAGGAACCAAGGCUCCUGGCUGACAGCCAGCACCAGUUGCCAGCCAUGAGUGAGACCAUUUUGGACCAGGCCAUCCUAGUAUCCCAGAUGACACCAUGUGCAGAAGAAGAACCAUGUGGCCAAACCAUGGAUCAAUGGAAG